Molecule: microRNA precursor, 180 nt
Filed under: Oryza rufipogon (brownbeard rice)
Lineage: Eukaryota; Viridiplantae; Streptophyta; Magnoliopsida; Poales; Poaceae
Description: MIR812 microRNA precursor family
Rfam family: MIR812 microRNA precursor family
Source: Rfam by way of RNAcentral
UUUGAACUGUUCAUUUCCAUUUAUCUUAUUUGAUUUUUUUUAUGAUUAGUAUUUUUAUUGUUAUUAGAUGAUAAAACAUUAAUAGUAUUUUAUGUGUGAUUUUUUUAAAAAAAAUUUAUAAUAUUUUAAAAUAAGACGGACGUUAAAUGUUGGACACAGAUUCUUACGGCUGCACUUAUU